RNAcentral lists this ribosomal RNA (460 nucleotides) under uncultured bacterium. Its description in RNAcentral is "partial 16S ribosomal RNA". It matches the Rfam family "Bacterial small subunit ribosomal RNA", at positions 338 to 795 of the family's 1533-position model. The record is from RNAcentral.
CCUACGGGUGGCAGCAGUGAGGAAUAUUGGUCAAUGGGCGCGAGCCUGAACCAGCCAAGUAGCGUGAAGGAUGACUGCCCUACGGGUUGUAAACUUCUUUUAUAAAGGAAUAAAGUGAGGCCCGUGUGCCUUUUUGUAUGUACUUUAUCAAUACGGAUCGGCUAACUCCGUGCCAGCAGCCGCGGUAAUACGGAGGAUCCGAGCGUUAUCCGGAUUUAUUGGGUUUAAAGGGAGCGUAGAUGGGUUGUUAAGUCCGUUGUGAAAGUUUGCGGCUCAACCGUAAAAUUGCAAUUGAUACUGGCAGUCUGGAGUACAGGUGAGGUAGGCGGAAUUCGUGGUGUAGCGGUGAAAUGCGUAGAUAUCACGAAGAACUCCGAUGGCGAAGGCAGCUUACUAAACUGCAACUGACGUUGAGGCUCGAAAGUGUGGGUAUCAAACAGGAUUAGAUACCCCGGUAGUC